This 441-nucleotide ribosomal RNA is filed under the name uncultured bacterium. RNAcentral's name for it is "partial 16S ribosomal RNA". It matches the Rfam family "Bacterial small subunit ribosomal RNA", at positions 338 to 795 of the family's 1533-position model. The record is from RNAcentral.
CCUACGGGAGGCAGCAGUGGGGAAUAUUGCACAAUGGGGGAAACCCUGAUGCAGCGACGCCGCGUGAGUGAAGAAGUAUUUCGGUAUGUAAAGCUCUAUCAGCAGGGAAGAAAAAAGACGGUACCUGACUAAGAAGCCCCGGCUAACUACGUGCCAGCAGCCGCGGUAAUACGUAGGGGGCAAGCGUUAUCCGGAUUUACUGGGUGUAAAGGGAGCGUAGACGGCGCGGCAAGUCUGAAGUGAAAGGCAGGGGCUUAACCCCUGAACUGCUUUGGAAACUGCCAUGCUAGAGUGCUGGAGAGGUAAGUGGAAUUCCUAGUGUAGCGGUGAAAUGCGUAGAUAUUAGGAGGAACACCGGCGGCGAAGGCGGCCUGCUGGACCGCGACUGACGUUGAGGCUCGAAAGCGUGGGGAGCGAACAGGAUUAGAUACCCCGGUAGUC